This 342-nucleotide long non-coding RNA is filed under the name Nicotiana benthamiana. Its description in RNAcentral is "long non-coding RNA (NBEN_LNC033427)". Lineage: Eukaryota; Viridiplantae; Streptophyta; Magnoliopsida; Solanales; Solanaceae. The record is from RNAcentral.
AUGAAUCGUGCUGGAACGUUCAAUAUUUUGGGACAUUUAUUUGGACUGUGAGCCUGCUGAAUCUGCCCUGUCUUGCACUAUUUAAGCAACAUAUCUGCACAGUUUUUUUUUAAAAUGCAAAUUUUGAUUUCUUGGCUCUCAUAGGUUUGGUUGCUGGAUAGUUUAAUAUCUGAAUGAGGUUUAGCUUUGAUUGUUAGUUGUGCAAGUUAUGUUUUUCUUCAGCCGUUUGCUGAACAACCUUGCCCUGUUUUUCCUCACAUUCAUGUAUGUUUCUCACCCCCAAUUCACAGUUUCUGCUUUGUUCACUUGCUUAAGGCUCUUUAGAAUUUCAGCCUCAUGAUU